AUGGGCGGAGCCUGAUCCAGCGACGCCGCGUGAAGGAGAAGGCCUUCGGGUUGUAAACUUCUGUACUAGGGGAAUAAAAGGCCUGUGGACACACAGGAAAAGAAAGUAGGCUAGGAAAAGUCCCGGCUAACUACUAAGCCAGCAGCCGCGGAAAUACGUAGGGGGCAAGCGUUACCCGGAAUUACUGGGCGUAAAGGGGGCGUAGGCGGUAAAA
RNAcentral lists this ribosomal RNA (214 nucleotides) under uncultured type II methanotroph. RNAcentral describes it as "partial 16S ribosomal RNA". It matches the Rfam family "Bacterial small subunit ribosomal RNA", at positions 371 to 583 of the family's 1533-position model. The record is from RNAcentral. Lineage: Bacteria; Pseudomonadati; Pseudomonadota; Alphaproteobacteria; Hyphomicrobiales; Methylocystaceae.